Molecule: ribosomal RNA, 361 nt
Filed under: Babesia vogeli
Lineage: Eukaryota; Apicomplexa; Aconoidasida; Piroplasmida; Babesiidae
Description: SSU rRNA
Rfam family: Eukaryotic small subunit ribosomal RNA
Source: RNAcentral
GGCCUAAUGUCUUGUAAUAUGUAAUGAUGGUGACCCAAACCCUCACCAGAGUAGCAAUUGGAGGGCAAGUCUGGUGCCAGCAGCCGCGGUAAUUCCAGCUCCAAUAGCGUAUAUUAAACUUGUUGCAGUUAAAAAGCUCGUAGUUGAAUUUUAGCGUGUUCGAGUUUGCCAUUCGUUUGGCUUUUUCGAGUUCGCUUUUGGGUUUUCCCUUUUUACUUUGAGAAAAUUAGAGUGUUUCAAGCAGACUUUUGUCUUGAAUACUUCAGCAUGGAAUAAUAGAGUAGGACUUUGGUUCUAUUUUGUUGGUUAUUGAACCUUAGUAAUGGUUAAUAGGAACGGUUGGGGGCAUUCGUAUUUAAAA